UACGGGGGGGCAAGCGUUGUUCGGAAUUACUGGGCGUAAAGGGCUCGUAGGUGGCCAACUAAGUCAGACGUGAAAUCCCUCAGCUUAACUGGGGAACUGCGUCUGAUACUGGAUGGCUUGAGUGUGGGAGAGGAAUGCGGAAUUCCAGGUGUAGCGGUGAAAUGCGUAGAUAUCUGGAGGAACACCGGUGGCGAAGGCGGUUCUCUGGGCCUUACCUGACGCUGAGGAGCGAAAGCGUGGGGAGCGAACAGG
Molecule: ribosomal RNA, 252 nt
Filed under: uncultured bacterium
Lineage: Bacteria
Description: partial 16S ribosomal RNA
Rfam family: Bacterial small subunit ribosomal RNA
Source: RNAcentral